GAUGAACGCUGGCGGCGUGCCUAAUACAUGCAAGUCGAGCGAACAGACGAGGAGCUUGCUCCUCUGACGUUAGCGGAGGACGGGUGAGAAACACGUGGAUAACCUACCUAUCAGACUGGGAUAACUUCGGGAAACCGGAGCUAAUACCGGAUAAUCUAUUGCACCGCAUGGUUCAAUAGUGAAAGACGGUUUUUCGGUAUCGUCUAGAUGCAUCCGCGCCGUAUUAGAUAGUUGGUAGGGUCACGGCUUAUCAAGGCAAGGAUGCCCAGCCGACCGGCUUGGGUGGUCGGCCACCUGGGAACUGAGACGGGGUCCAUGCUCCUACGGGAGGGAGCAGUAGGGAAUCGGCCGCAAUAGGCGGAAGCUUGGCGGAGCAACGCCACGUGAGUUAUAGAGAUCUUGCGAUCGGAAAACUCUGUUAUUAGUGAAGAACAAAUUUGUAAGUAACUAUGCACGGCUUGACGGUACCUAGUCAGAAAGCCACGGCUAACUACGUG
Molecule: ribosomal RNA, 497 nt
Filed under: uncultured bacterium
Lineage: Bacteria
Description: partial 16S ribosomal RNA
Rfam family: Bacterial small subunit ribosomal RNA
Source: RNAcentral